AUAUGGUGUGAUAAGAACAGAUUUUGAAGAAACCCUAUUCAAUAAGUGAAUUAUAGUUAAUAAGGUAUGUCUCCAAAGAUAUAAGGAUAAAUCAGUGAAGCUCAUCAUGGAUCUGAUCAUAUCUAAUAGGAUCUUAUUCCUCCUUUCGGAUAUCCUGUUGAGCUGAGAUAUUUCGAAAGGAGUCUAUUAAGAGACUAUACUAUUGUCCUUAAGAUAUCUCAAAAAUUUUGUGACUAAGGUAUUUACCUCCUCAAUCAGAUUAAAGAAUCUUAAUAGAUUUAUCUAUUUAUUUUUUUACUU
This 300-nucleotide long non-coding RNA is filed under the name Elaeis guineensis (African oil palm). Its description in RNAcentral is "long non-coding RNA (EGUI_LNC060803)". The record is from RNAcentral. Lineage: Eukaryota; Viridiplantae; Streptophyta; Magnoliopsida; Arecales; Arecaceae.